GAUGAAGAACGCAGCGAAAUGCGAUAAGUAGUGUGAAUUGCAGAAUUCAGUGAAUCAUCGAAUCUUUGAACGCACAUUGCGCCUUCUAGAAUUCUGGGAGGCAUGCCUGUUUGAGCGUCAUUAAACCUCUCUCAAGUAUGAUUACUUGGAUGUGAAGGAAGAGUACCUUAAACUUAAGGAGUGUUCUCCUUUGAAAUUGAUUAGCAGAUGGUAAUGUUAUUAAAUCCCUGAUGUUGUAAGAAAUAACAGUGGUUUUGUAGACUAUUAUCUAGCUUUAAAUUAUAAUUUUUAUUAUGGUUGACCUCAAAUCAGGUAAGGAUACCCGCUGAACUUAAGCAUAUCAAUAAGCGGAGGA
RNAcentral lists this unclassified non-coding RNA (355 nucleotides) under soil metagenome. RNAcentral's name for it is "partial contains 5.8S ribosomal RNA, internal transcribed spacer 2, and large subunit ribosomal RNA". The stretch from base 1 to 120 matches the Rfam family "5.8S ribosomal RNA", at positions 35 to 154 of the family's 154-position model. The record is from RNAcentral.